RNAcentral lists this ribosomal RNA (890 nucleotides) under uncultured bacterium. RNAcentral describes it as "bacterial SSU rRNA". It matches the Rfam family "Bacterial small subunit ribosomal RNA", at positions 22 to 916 of the family's 1533-position model. The record is from RNAcentral.
GCUCAGAACGAACGUUGGCGGCGUGGAUUAGGCAUGCAAGUCGAACGAAUGCCAGUGCUGUAGCAAUACAGUGCUGGCGGAAGUGGCGAAAGGGGCAGUAAGGCAUGGGUAACCUACCCUGGAGUCGGGCAUAGCCAUCCUAACGGAUGGGUAAUUCCCGAUGGCUCAGCGAGGAGACAUCUUCUUGCUGGUAAAGAGUUUCGCUCCGGGAGGGGCCCAUGUGCUAUUAGCUAGUUGGCGGGGUAACGGCCCACCAAGGCUAAGAUGGCUAGCGGGUGUGAGAGCACGACCCGCGCCACUGGCACUGAGACACUGGCCAGACACCUACGGGUGGCUGCAGUCGAGGAUCUUCGUCAAUGGGCGAAAGCCUGAACGAGCGACGCCGCGUGCGCGAUGAAGGCCUUCGGGUUGUAAAGCGCGAAAGUGGGGACGAAAGCUGAAAGGUUUGACUGAUCCACAGUAAGCUCGGGCUAAGUUCGUGCCAGCAGCCGCGGUAAGACGAACCGAGCGAACGUUGUUCGGAAUCACUGGGCUUAAAGGGCGCGUAGGCGGGCACUCAAGUCUAUGGUGAAAUCCGGCAGCUCAACUGUCGAACUGCCGUGGAUACUGGGUGUCUCGAGGGAGGUAGGGGCGUGCGGAACUAAUGGUGGAGCGGUGAAAUGCGUUGAUAUCAUUAGGAACUCCGGUGGCGAAGGCGGCACGCUGGACCUCUUCUGACGCUGAGGCGCGAAAGCCAGGGGAGCAAACGGGAUUAGAUACCCCGGUAGUCCUGGCCCUAAACGUUGGGUACUAGAUAGUAGUCUUCACAUGGGAUUACUGUCGAAGCAAAAGUGCUAAGUACCCCGCCUGGGGAGUAUGGUCGCAAGGCUGAAACUUAAAGGAAUUGAUGG